This 324-nucleotide ribosomal RNA is filed under the name uncultured Labrys sp. RNAcentral describes it as "bacterial SSU rRNA". It matches the Rfam family "Bacterial small subunit ribosomal RNA", at positions 505 to 829 of the family's 1533-position model. The record is from RNAcentral. Lineage: Bacteria; Pseudomonadati; Pseudomonadota; Alphaproteobacteria; Hyphomicrobiales; Xanthobacteraceae.
GUGCCAGCAGCAGCGGUAAUACGAAGGGGGCUAGCGUUGUUCGGAAUUACUGGGCGUAAAGCGCACGUAGGCGGAUUGUUAAGUCGGGGUGAAAUCCUGAGGCUCAACCUCAGAACUGCCUUCGAUACUGGCGAUCUUGAGUUCGGAAGAGGUUGGUGGAACAGCUAGUGUAGAGGUGAAAAUUCGUAGAUAUUAGCUAGAACACCAGUGGCGAAGGCGGCCAACUGGUCCGAUACUGACGCUGAGGUGCGAAAGCGUGGGAGCAAACAGGAUUAGAUACCCUGGUAGUCCACGCCGUAAACGAUGAAUGCCAGCCGUCGGGGA